RNAcentral lists this ribosomal RNA (497 nucleotides) under uncultured bacterium. Its description in RNAcentral is "partial 16S ribosomal RNA". It matches the Rfam family "Bacterial small subunit ribosomal RNA", at positions 28 to 507 of the family's 1533-position model. The record is from RNAcentral.
GAUGAACGCUGGCGGCGUGCCUAAUACAUGCAAGUCGAGCGAACAGACGAGGAGCUUGCUCCUCUGACGUUAGCGGCGGACGGGUGAGUAACACGUGGAUAACCUACCUAUAAGACUGGGAUAACUUCGGGAAACCGGAGCUAAUACCGGAUAAUAUAUUGAACCGCAUGGUUCAAUAGUGAAAGACGGUUUUGCUGUCACUUAUAGAUGGAUCCGCGCCGCAUUAGCUAGUUGGUAAGGUAACGGCUUACCAAGGCAACGAUGCGUAGCCGACCUGAGAGGGGGAUCGGCCACACUGGAACUGGAACACGGUCCAGACUCCUACGGGAGGCAGCAGUAGGGAAUCUUCCGCAGUGGGCGAAAGCCUGACGGAGCAACGCCGCGUGAGUGAUGAAGGUCUUCGGAUCGUAAAACUCUGUUAUUAGGGAAGAACAAAUGUGUAAGUAACUAUGCACGUCUUGACGGUACCUAAUCAGAAAGCCACGGCUAACUACGUG